CACGUAGGGGGCGAGCGUUGUCCGGAUUUAUUGGGCGUAAAGAGCUCGUAGGCGGCUCGGUAAGUCGGGUGUGAAAUUUCGAGGCUCAACCUCGAAACGCCACCCGAUACUGCUGUGGCUAGAGUCCGGUAGGGGAGCGUGGAAUUCCUGGUGUAGCGGUGAAAUGCGCAGAUAUCAGGAGGAACACCAGCGGCGAAGGCGGCGCUCUGGGCCGGUACUGACGCUGAGGAGCGAAAGCGUGGGGAGCAAACGGG
This 254-nucleotide ribosomal RNA is filed under the name uncultured bacterium. Its description in RNAcentral is "partial 16S ribosomal RNA". It matches the Rfam family "Bacterial small subunit ribosomal RNA", at positions 524 to 776 of the family's 1533-position model. The record is from RNAcentral.